AGCCACUGCCAGUCUCAACAUUUGUUUGUUUUCAUGCAUGUCCGUGUUUUAAGAGGCAGCCCGGGGAUUAAUACCGUCCAGAAACUGUGGUGCAAGCUCAGUUAGGCAAUUCCACAAAAAUCUUCAGAGUACUUACUCGUCAUUAAAGGCAACAAUUGAGCCCCUGCCUGCUGCUGGUUUCGUUCCCUUUCCUCCUGCUUCAGCCAUCACAUGGUGACUUUCCUGCACAACAGAAAACUGAAUGCCCACAGGUUUUUCCACGCACAGGCAGCAGAGAACAACUGCCUCUACUCUGCUUUUACAGUUCUCAAGACAGAUGACCCAAAAUGUGCAGAACCUCCUGGAUACAAGAACAUGAAAAACUAAACCAAAGAAAGUUGUUUCAUUUUCCCCCCACUCCUUCCUGAUGCUGAGCCUUCCACAGCACUUACACCUCUAUGUGCAAAGGUAAGAAGUAAGAAGGAAGAGGCUUUAAAAGAAACCACCUUAACACCUCCUUUCUUACAGAAGAGAAGCCAACAUAAAACAAAGGGCAGCAGAAGUAAAAGUGAGGCCAUCGGCAGCUUGCUGGCCAAAUGUCCACAUGACUGCAGACCCAGUAUGCUGCACUAAACCAUGGGUUAAUUAGAAACAGGAGUCUCUCCUCUAUUCCUAUUUUUGAAGGAAAUCUUCAUCAGCACAAAGACAGCAAUGCAGAAGUCCUGUCUCCUCGGUGGGAGCAUGUAUCCAGGACUACAUUGAUCCAAGACACAGAUGUGACCUACUCGAGUAAAUUACCAGGAAAAAAAAAAUCAAAACAUUUCACACUUCAUUUUGUGCACAUCAGUCCAUCUGGACUUCAUCAGCUAGCCAAAAUUCAGUCACAAAGGUUAUUUCUAUUACAAAGAGAAAUUGAUGACAGAAUUGAGUGUAUCUUUGAUACAAACCCAUCUGCUUACAUACAACACAGCAUCCUUUCACCUGCUACAAUGUAAGAACAAAUGAUCUGAUCUUUUUCCUUGGUAGUCACUUAAAUUUAGCCAGCACAAUAUCUGAACCCUUCGUUAUUUUCUCCUUAGAAACACACUCCUACUCCUACAUUUGGAUGUUUCUCUCUAGUCAGCAUGAUUUUCCGUGGCUUGUUUCACUGGUUCUUAUGUCACAUAUAGACAACUCCAGCAGUCACUAGCUAUCUUGUAUUUUCUUUAUAGGUUUCCAGGGAAAACCCCUUAUAUCAUAGAGUUAAGAGUUUUUUUCAUGUAGUUCUCAUCUUGUAAUUCUGCUUUGGUUGUGACCCUGUUAUUUCCUGUUAUAUAUGGAACUACCUGGUUCCAUAUUGACUUUAAACUCUUCUAAAUACUUACUUUGCCCACAAGUUUCAGUGAAUUUUACCCAGUUCAUAAUAGCAUCUCUUCAGUUCCACCCAGUCUUCCAAACCAAAAUGGCCACAACUGAACCCUUUCAGCCCAGAAAGAGAAAUGCUUUAAUAAAACUACUAGUUAUACUGCAAACAGUGGCUGUCAAGGAUACUCUUAUAUUUCAGCCCCUCCAAAAAAGUCAGUUUCCAGCCAUGAUUCCUUGUGAUUUUUCAACUGUCUGUAUUAAACCUGCCCAUCAAAAGGGAGAUGUAAUUCCUCAUGCUCUCCAUCAAGUGCAGAUAGCCUCUGCUGGAUGCAAAUGAUGAAUCGAUUUCCCAAAUAUUUGUUAUCUAGACAGGAGAAUGGAGUUCAUACAGGCACCCUCCUAAUCUUGGGGGUUAAAUCUGCCAAACUAGCUUAAACAACCUUUAAAUAGAAAC
This is a long non-coding RNA of Parus major (Great Tit), 1777 nucleotides long. RefSeq lists it as uncharacterized. Lineage: Eukaryota; Metazoa; Chordata; Aves; Passeriformes; Paridae. The transcript is spliced from 3 exons. The record is from RefSeq and is a predicted model, not a curated record.